AAAGUCGUAACAAGGUUUCCGUAGGUGAACCUGCGGAAGGAUCAUUAGUGAAUAUAGCGUGUCUCUUCGGAGAGCGUGACCUCCACUUCUAACUCUGUGCAUUUGUUGGCGAGAGGGUAACCCAAGUUUCUACUUGGUUCGAAUCUUGCGGCUCAUUUUUUUUUAAAACACUAGUUAAAGUAUGUAACGAAAUAUCGAAACAUAAAAAAAACUUUCAACAACGGAUCUCUUGGCUCUC
Molecule: unclassified non-coding RNA, 238 nt
Filed under: Basidiomycota sp.
Lineage: Eukaryota; Fungi; Basidiomycota
Description: partial contains small subunit ribosomal RNA, internal transcribed spacer 1, and 5.8S ribosomal RNA
Rfam family: Eukaryotic small subunit ribosomal RNA (bases 1-47)
Source: RNAcentral